This 72-nucleotide transfer RNA is filed under the name Lachnospiraceae bacterium. RNAcentral's name for it is "tRNA-Thr". It matches the Rfam family "tRNA". From Rfam's summary of the family: Transfer RNA (tRNA) molecules are approximately 80 nucleotides in length. Their secondary structure includes four short double-helical elements and three loops (D, anti-codon, and T loops). Lineage: Bacteria; Bacillati; Bacillota; Clostridia; Lachnospirales; Lachnospiraceae. The record is from RNAcentral. RNAcentral also lists the same sequence under 1 other name.
GCUGAUGUGGCUCAGGGGUAGAGCGUUUCCUUGGUAAGGAAGAGGUCGCGGGUUCAAUUCCCGCCAUCAGCU